UACGGGAGGCAGCAGUGAGGAAUAUUGGACAAUGGAGGGAACUCUGAUCCAGCCAUGCCGCGUGCAGGAUAAGGUCCUAUGGAUUGUAAACUGCUUUUGUACGGGAGCAAUAAGGUCCACGUGUGGGUCGAUGAGAGUACCGUACGAAUAAGCAUCGGCUAACUCCGUGCCAGCAGCCGCGGUAAU
This 186-nucleotide ribosomal RNA is filed under the name uncultured rumen bacterium. RNAcentral describes it as "partial 16S ribosomal RNA". It matches the Rfam family "Bacterial small subunit ribosomal RNA", at positions 340 to 524 of the family's 1533-position model. The record is from RNAcentral.